UGAACAUAGUUUAACAAAAACAAUGGGCAGUGGCCCCAAAAAUAAAGAGCUAUCUUUUGUUCACC
RNAcentral lists this transfer RNA (65 nucleotides) under Paroedura vazimba. RNAcentral's name for it is "tRNA-His". Lineage: Eukaryota; Metazoa; Chordata; Lepidosauria; Squamata; Gekkonidae. The record is from RNAcentral.